UUUCUUUUAGCCUGCCCUCCCUGCCACAAUAGCGUGCUCAAACUCACACUCACACACACACUCACACACACACGCAUCCCUAUUCACACACACUUACACACACCCCUACUCAGACACACUCACACACACCCCUACUCAGAUACACACCCCUACUCACACACACCCCUACUCACACACCACAUUGUCUGCGUUCGGCUCUCCCUUCCCACUCUGCCUCCAUCUCCCUUCCAGGAUGCACAGACGACUGCUCUCUCUCUGGGUGACUGGGGCGCUGCUGCUACCCUUGUGCUGGGCAAACAAAGAGGACUAUGAGGAGGAAUAUGAUGACUAUUCUACACAAACACCAGACUAUGACUACACCGCCACCUUCGAUUACACCUAUUUCAGUAACACCACCGGUCAUGAGGACUAUAGUUUGUAUGUAAUUCUAGGAGAGAAGAAGAAUGUGGAGGAGAAGGAUCUUGAGAAUAAGGCUUUAGCGAUUGGCUCCCCAUGCCCAGUGCUACUCCUCGGAUUGGCUGCUCACCAACUCCAUCGAUUACUGUGAAUGAAACCGAGCACUGCAGAACAUACAGAGAUAUACAGGACCCUGAACUGAGCAGAAAGUUACCCCAUAUUCUGGAAUUGGACUGAGGAGAAAGCUACCCAAUAUUCUGGAAUUUGACCUUUUAAGGAUCAAAUGGACACAGCAUGAGAUUCUCCACCACUGACUUUCUAUACUAUAGUUGGAAAAACCCAUAGUGACUCCUGAAUCCUAACUUAUGAAAGAAGCCCACAACUUGAAUUCAUAAACAUCUCCCAUAAUAAUAUUUGCAUUGUAGGCAGCGUCUCAAAGUUG
This is a long non-coding RNA of Oncorhynchus kisutch (coho salmon), 838 nucleotides long. RefSeq lists it as uncharacterized. NCBI's taxonomy places the organism in Eukaryota, Metazoa, Chordata, Actinopteri, Salmoniformes, Salmonidae. The record is from RefSeq and is a predicted model, not a curated record. The transcript is spliced from 5 exons.